CCAGCAGCAGCUGACUCCCUCCGGUCUUGCACUACUGAACUGCCACAACUUACUACACUGUUUCUAUACUACUACCAUACUAAUCAUAAACUGCUACACUCCUGCUACGACACUACUCUACACUGCUGUCACCCUGCUGGGCCUGCUAACAGCCUGGAGUUAUGGAGCAAAAGGUGAACCAGUGCCCCUCCAGCCCCUCCCUCCAGAAGCAGAUGAAGAACAGAUCUAAAUCCACAGAGGAAUUUCAGCAGACCAAGAAGGUCGUCUCCUCACAGAAGUCCCUGAAUCUGCCUGGAAGAACAGACUUAGAGAAGGUUAAGGAGAGUCCUGAAGGUCCUGACAUGCCUUCGUCCUCCACCGAAGAACUCAAGUGAUGCUGGCGCCCCCUGGUGGAUUAUCACAACUCA
Molecule: long non-coding RNA, 407 nt
Organism: Hypomesus transpacificus
Lineage: Eukaryota; Metazoa; Chordata; Actinopteri; Osmeriformes; Osmeridae
Exons: 4
Source: RefSeq, a predicted model, not a curated record